AACGAACGCUGGCGGCAUGCCUAACACAUGCAAGUCGAACGAGAUCUUCGGGUCUAGUGGCGCACGGGUGCGUAACGCGUGGGAAUCUGCCCUUUGGUUCGGAAUAACAGUUGGAAACGACUGCUAAUACCGGAUGAUGACGAAAGUCCAAAGAUUUAUCGCCAGAGGAUGAGCCCGCGUAGGAUUAGCUAGUUGGUGUGGUGAAGGCGCACCAAGGCGACGAUCCUUAGCUGGUCUGAGAGGAUGAUCAGCCACACUGGGACUGAGACACGGCCCAGACUCCUACGGGAGGCAGCAGUGGAGAAUAUUGGACAAUGGGCGAAAGCCUGAUCCAGCAAUGCCGCGUGAGUGAUGAAGGCCUUAGGGUUGUAAAGCUCUUUUACCCGGGAUGAUAAUGACAGUACCGGGAGAAUAAGCUCCGGCUAACUCCGUGCCAGCCGCCGCUGUAA
Molecule: ribosomal RNA, 449 nt
Filed under: uncultured bacterium
Lineage: Bacteria
Description: partial 16S ribosomal RNA
Rfam family: Bacterial small subunit ribosomal RNA
Source: RNAcentral